GUGAGGAAUAUUGGUCAAUGGGCGGGAGCCUGAACCAGCCAAGUCGCGUGAAGGAAGAAGGAUCUAUGGUUCGUAAACUUCUUUUGCAGGGGAAUAAAGUGCAGGACGUGUCCUGUUUUGUAUGUACCCUGAGAAUAAGGAUCGGCUAACUCCGUGCCAGCAGCCGCGGUAAUACGGAGGAUCCGAGCGUUAUCCGGAUUUAUUGGGUUUUAAGGGUGCGUAGGUGGUUUGAUAAGUCAGCGGUGAAAGUUUGCAGCUUAACUGUAAAAAUGCCGUUGAAACUGUCGGACUUGAGUGUAAAUGAGGUAGGCGGAAUGCGUGGUGUAGCGGUGAAAUGCAUAGAUAUCACGCAGAACUCCGAUUGCGAAGGCAGCUUACUAAGCUACAACUGACACUGAAGCACGAAAGCGUGGGGAUCAAACAGGAUUAGAAACCCUGGUAGUCC
RNAcentral lists this ribosomal RNA (445 nucleotides) under uncultured bacterium. RNAcentral's name for it is "partial 16S ribosomal RNA". It matches the Rfam family "Bacterial small subunit ribosomal RNA", at positions 354 to 796 of the family's 1533-position model. The record is from RNAcentral.